GAUGAACGCUGGCGGCGUGCCUAAUACAUGCAAGUCGAGCGAACGGACGAGGAGCUUGCUUUUCUGAUGUUAGCGGCGGACGGGUGAGUAACACGUGGAUAACCGACCUAUAAGACUGGGAUAACUUCGGGAAACCGGAGCUAAUACCGGAUAAUAUUUUGAACCGCAUGGUUCAAAAGUGAAAGACGUUCUUGCUGUCACUUAUAGAUGUAUCCGCGCUGCAUUAGCUAGUUGGUAAGGUAACGGCUUACCAAGGCAACGAUGCGUAGCCGACCUGAGAGGGUGAUCGGCCACACUGGAACUGAGACACGGUCCAGACUCCUACGGGAGGCAGCAGUAGGGAAUCUUCCGCAAUGGGCGAAAGCCUGACGGAGCAACGCCGCGUGAGUGAUGAAGGUCUUCGGAUCGUAAAACUCUGUUAUUAGGGAAGAACAUAUGUGUAAGUAACUGUGCACAUCUUGACGGUACCUAAUCAGAAAGCCACGGCUAACUACGUG
Molecule: ribosomal RNA, 497 nt
Filed under: uncultured bacterium
Lineage: Bacteria
Description: partial 16S ribosomal RNA
Rfam family: Bacterial small subunit ribosomal RNA
Source: RNAcentral